Molecule: long non-coding RNA, 1505 nt
Organism: Cyprinus carpio (common carp)
Lineage: Eukaryota; Metazoa; Chordata; Actinopteri; Cypriniformes; Cyprinidae
Exons: 2
Source: RefSeq, a predicted model, not a curated record
GAUAAACAAGGGACUCGUGAACAACUACCGCAAAACAAAAGCAAUCGUGGAUCAUCCAGGAAACAACACACAGUGUUCAGAUUCAAGGGAAAAAACAAAACAAUUAGAGAUAAUGGACGUUGGGAAAACAAAUGUGUCUCGCGAAAGCAUCACACACACAGUGGCAGGACCACAACCCAUAUGCAACCCAUAACAUCUUAUAUAUUAACAAUCGAUAUAUUAAAUUGUUUUAUGUAUAUUGAAAAUACACUAAUUAGUAUAUUGUUGAUUCCUUAAUACAUUGUAAUGUAUGUUGUCAAUAACAUUCAUUGCGAUAUAUUGAUUAACAUGUGAUAAAAUGAUACUCUGUUUAUGUGCGCACACAUAAUGUUGCCAUGAAUUUAACCAGACAUCUGAUCGUCUAAAAGUCCAAAACUUUUAUUGAUCUUUUCAGUAGUUUUCUUUUAUACGUCACAAAUAUUUUCAUAUAUGAAAUGUGUAACUAUGCAAACAAAGUGAGAGAAGUUUGUGUUCCGCUAUAUGUGAGUUUAAGCAUUAACUUUUGAAAUCGAAAUUGAGUGUUUUAAUAAAGCUAUUACUUGUAAAAUUGUGGUGCAGUAUAUAUUGCAGUAUGUAGAAAAAUAUAAGAUAACAAUAACAAUAUAUAUAAAUAUAUUAUUUAAUAUAAUCGCAUUAUAUUUUCUAAUACAGUGGUUCUCAAACCUGUCCUGGAGGACCCACUGCCCUGCACAUUUGCAUCUCUCCCUAAUCAGACACCCAAUUUAGUUCUCGUAGUCUCUACUAACGAACUGAUGAGUGGAAUCAGGUGUGUUAGACAGUCCCUCCAGGAUUUUGCAAUAGCUGAAUUUAUUGCAAAAUCAAGCAAACUCCGCAAUUUUUGCAAAAGUUAACAAAUUUUCAUAAUUGCUGCAAAUUUUCUGCAGAAUUUGGGCUUAGACGCGUCCCGUGACAGCAUUGCAAUGCACAUUCAGUCAAAGAAAGGUUGUUUUUCAGUUCCAAAAAUGGAAUGAACAGCCUUGUGUUCUCAUCAUGACCAAUGUACAAGAGCUACACUGAAUAAACAAACCAAAAGCGUGCAGACCGUUUAUCUGCUCAAACCGGAGCCUUUGGCUGAUCUCGAUCAUGCGACCCUGAAGUACACAGCGCUGGGAGAUACAGUGUGAAGAAAGCAGUCGAAUUCGCCACAGAAUCAACAUCUCUGUUAAAUCUUGUGAGAAGCAUUUAAAUUCAGCGCAGAAUUCUGUUAAACCUACACAGAUAUCAGAACAAACGCCACUGAUGUGGAAACCAGGAAAAACAUUGUUCAAUAAACACAGAUCACCACCGUUCACCAUUGAUUUAACAUACAGUAGGUGGACAACCAGAAUGGGUAAUACGGCCAUGUGUAGCAUCCGCAGCGUGUAAAAAUCAUUUGCAAAACUACCGCCAGGUGGUGCAAAGGGACGGACUGCAGACUGACUGUAAUUGUAAAAUGUUGGUUUGUAAACUGAAUUGAAAGGACGAAG